AGCUGACAGCAGUUGGAUGUCUACAAAGAAACACAUACUUCUAGACAAUGGCUGGAUCGAUCCUUCAGUAACUGCCAUUAUUUGACAGAUGCAGUGUUCAAUGUACACAAUACUCCUCACCAACAGAAGGUGGUGACUGAAACAGCCUUGCUUAAAAUUGCUUAAAAUAAGGUUAGUGGGUUGCAUGCAAUGCUAUUUUUAAUCCCGUACUACUAGGAGACACAUUUUUUAACAUAAUGGAUUUUUUGAAGUACAAUAAUGUCUUCUAAAAAAUCCCAAAGGUGCCCCAUGUUUUUUUUUUGGGGGGGGGGAGGCAAGGGUAGGAAUCAUGAGAUUAACACUGAUGUUCUAUGUGUGUCAAAUUUAGGACUGCUGAUGUAAAUUUGAAUUGGGUCAAAUAUUUGCACCAGCUCUAGGCUGGAACAGCAAUCUUCCUCCCUCCAGUUCACUUCAACCAACAUGCUAAGCAGGACUGAAGAUGCACAGGGGGGCACACUGCUUUGUAAAACCAUGCUGGGAAGCAGCUGUUAGGAUUGCACCCUUAGCAAGCUAACUUUAGCACCUAUUUUAUACAUGGACACAACCGUCCUGGGUCUAGUGUUACUGUUCUUAUGCUUCUCUUUUCUAGUUAGAACUGUUUUUCUGACUAGAACCCAAAUCAUCUCUCCGGACAAGGCAACAAUAGCAAGAAAAAUGCUCAGCAUAGUGCACCAUAGAUCACCACCUUAGGGAAAAAGAAGACCAAGCACAGGAGAGUUAGUUUCCUGGCACACUCAGCUCUGUACGUUCCUCAGAGCAGCUUGAGGGGCUCUUUCUGCAAUCCAAUUAAAAGCAGCUCACAUCUAGACGGUGAAGAAACACGUACAGCACACACACCUGAUAGAUAUUUAUAAGACACAACAGUAUUCAAUUAGUUCAGGAUCAGUUUCAUUGGUCCCCUUCCAUCUUGCCAUAUGGCCCACGAUCAAUAGGUGUCUGAAUUAGCAAGCAAGAUCACAAAGCAGCCAAUGAUAUGGUUGGGAGUCAGCAAAAAGCAAGCUUGCUCUGUGUAUCUCUAGAGACCACAAAAGCACAGCAAUAUUGAAUAGUCUCUGCCUCUCUCCCCAUUGAGUUUCUAUCAUGGAAGUUUGCAGCAAUGCUAAAAAUAGAGUGUUUCUGUGCGUGGAGCUGUUCCCCUCGAUACAUAUAUUUCAGUCUAAUAAAAAGUGCCGGCCGUUUCAUUGCUCCUUUCCCUCAGAAUGAGAUACUCCGAUAACAGCCAUUAAAAUCAACCCUUGCAAAUGAGCAGGUACAGGGGGUUCUUUUAAAUGCAGCCUCCAUUCUAGCAGGUGGCCAGAACCACUCUGAACCAAGUGAUUACCUGUGAAUAGAAGAGGUAAUGCUGACAACUGCUCGCUGCAGGCAGUUAUUCAAAAAGGAGAAACAGAAGGGAAUGGAAUGGAAAUGCAGCACAUUUAAAGUGCUUCGUAAUAAAUACCUUAGGAGACCCGCUGCUGGCCUAUUCUCCAAAAAGCCUUCCUUUGAGCUUUUGGGAUGGGCUUGGUCACAAUGAAUGCUAAUGGGCAAUCAGUGAAGCCCAUCCUCCUUCACACUGCAUGGUGAAAGGUGGCCUUGAAGCUGCUUUUCCAGGUCUGCAAGGCACAAGGGCAAGAAAGCCUGGGAAGUUUGUACGAAGCCAGUGGGAGAGUUAUGAGCUGCAAUGUAGAUGCUGCUGUAGAACUUACGUUCCUAUGAAUCUAGCACUACCUGCCUGCUCAAGUCUGCUUACCUGUGCACCUACAUAAGAACCUGCUUGAUUGGGCCAAUGGCCCAUCCAGUCCAGCAUGCUGUUCUCACAGCAGCCAACUGGGUGCCUGUGGGAAGCCUGGAAGCAGCGCCCAAAUCUUCUCCACCUCCAGAAGUUUCCCACCACUGUGGCUAUUUCCAGCAAUUCCUCCCCUGGCCCUAGCUCCCCAUGCACCUAAAAUCUGUUCAAGAGGGUCCCCCAAUUCUCUAGAGAUUUUGAGAAGCGGUAGGGUGGAGGAUGUGGGAGAGGAAUAGCCAAAAACUGCUCCCACUUCUCCAUUCAGCUGAUGGCUGCUUUCCGGCAGACAAACAUCAGCUGGAUUCUACCAUCUAUUCCUAGGCAUACAGCAAAAGCCAGCAUUUUCACAAUACUUUUGUAAUAGCUGGGACGUCCCAAAAUAUAAAAGCAAAAAGUCAUCAUUCAUAUACUUAUUAAAACUUUUAUUAUGAAAACAAAAUUGUCAUUUUACAGUUAUGUGAAUCACACACAGAACAAUACAUACAAUGAAUUCUAUUUUGCCAGAUUAUAGUUUUGUACAAGGCCAACAUCUCAUUCCAAGGGCCUAGACAUUCCUAUUCCCUGACGAAGAGAGAAGUAGCUAUUUAUUGAAGGGACAAACUGCAACUUGCAUUCACAACAUUCAGCAAUGUAGUUGAGCACCGUAACCGUUUAGAGCCAUGGUGCUUUUUAUUCUUCAAGAGGAUGGAUCGGUCCAGUAGCACUUUGUAAUGUGCAUGUAGCACAUUGGUAAAUAUACCUUUUAGUAAUGUGAAUAUUUACAGUACAGGUGUGACAAGAAGCCAAAACAAUUCUGAAUGAUGUGAUGCAAAAGAUGACGGUCUUCAGCGAUCAGCUUCUGCACACAUUUCAGGCCACAAAACAAGUGUCACAUUCUUUGCAGGCAAUCUUAUCUGUCUGGAAUACAUAUGAAAAUCAGUGGCCAACUUUGUGUAAAUCAUUUAGUUAAGGCAUAUAUACAACAAGUAUGAGCCAUGAAAUCUUUAUUUUGAAUGGCUGAUUCCUUAUGGAUCUCUAGUAUGCAAUAUUUUAUUAGGCACUUCUGCCAGCAACAAAAGAAGGAAAUAAGGGGUGGGGGGAACAUGGCUAAGUGUUCCAGUAACCACCAUAAAGUAGUUGUGUAAAGAAGCCCUUGCUGGUGUGGCCGAGGGGUGGAGGGAGGCGCCGCUGAGCUCCCAGUUCAAAAUGUGCUUCCCACAGAGCUCUUUAGACUUGGGGCACCUUGAGACAGUCACUAUUUUGGGGUGAUAGUUGUCCACAUACCAGCAAAUUCCAGUUGCGCAAUUAAAGUUGAUUUAGAGAUAUUGCACAUCAAACACGCUUCCCAAAAGAUAAUUUUCUUCUUCUUUUUAGCAAAAAGGAAAGUGAAAGGAAAAAGUAGCAGAAAGUGUGGGAUGCUACAUCAUCUAGCCUCCUUAUAAACAAAAGCGAAUGCUCAGUAAAACAGCUAACCACGUCUAAUCUGCCUGCAAACAAAUCAGGAUGAAUGCUCAAAAUGCAGGUCUACUGGAAGCGCCCUUAAGUGUCUUCUAAAAGGAUUAAGAGCAAAAGAGGAGGUAUGGAAUAAUAACAAAAAUCCUUCUACAAGGUUAAAUUUACACUCAUGCCUUCUCUCACCAAAUAAUCUGGAAGAACAGCAUAUUUUAUUGAAUGACAAAAACCAGGAUUAGAAAAGAACCCAUUUAUUGUAGAAUGGUGUGGUGUUUUCCCCCCCUAUAUCCCUAGAAAGAAUAUCAUAUCAACAAGAAUUUACAAUUUUGGCAUGUUAAAGCACAACAAACUUAAGAUCACUUAUUUUAGUGAGCAAGUUCUGUUAACAUUUUCACAUUAAUGCACAUUUUGCUAGCCACAAAAAUAGGCUGUUAAGACUGAUCUCACUGAUAUAACAGUUUGAAGUCCAGUAACAUAUGAUUUUUAUUGUUCGCAGAACUUUUAAAAAGUUGAUAAAG
Non-coding RNA from Podarcis lilfordi (Lilford's wall lizard), 3753 nucleotides. The record is from the annotation of a GenBank genome assembly. NCBI's taxonomy places the organism in Eukaryota, Metazoa, Chordata, Lepidosauria, Squamata, Lacertidae.